This 73-nucleotide transfer RNA is filed under the name Hydrogenibacillus schlegelii. RNAcentral's name for it is "Bacillus schlegelii tRNA". It matches the Rfam family "tRNA". Rfam says of the family: Transfer RNA (tRNA) molecules are approximately 80 nucleotides in length. Lineage: Bacteria; Bacillati; Bacillota; Bacilli; Thermicanales; Thermicanaceae. The record is from Rfam by way of RNAcentral.
GGACGAUUAGCUCAGCUGGGAGAGCGCCUGCCUUACAAGCAGGAGGUCGGCGGUUCGAUCCCGUCAUCGUCCA